AUUCCGGAUAACGCACAUAUGCUGGAAUGCUUUUUGCGUAAAAUGGAUUCGUCUGCCCAAGGAUGGGUCUGCGGCCUAUCACGUAGUAGUGGGUGAAAUGUACCUACUAGCCUACGACGGGUACGGGUUGUGAGAGCAAGAGCCCGGAGAUGGAUUCUGAGACAUGAAUCCAGGCCCUACGGGGCGCAGCAGGCGCGAAAACUUUACAAUGCGGGAAACCGUGAUAAGGGGACACCGAGUGCCAGCAUCCUAUGCUGGCUGUCCGGGUGUGUAAAAUACACCUGUUAGCAAGGGCCGGGCAAGACCGGUGCCAGCCGCCGCGGUAACACCGGCGGCCCGAGUGGUGAUCGUGAUUAUUGGGUCUAAAGGGUCCGUAGCCGGUUUGGUCAGUCCUCCGGGAAAUCUGACAGCUCAACUGUUAGGCUAUCGGAGGAUACUGCCAGACUUGGAACCGGGAGAGGUAAGAGGUACUACAGGGGUAGGAGUGAAAUCUUGUAAUCCCUGUGGGACCACCUGUGGCGAAGGCGUCUUACCAGAACGGGUUCGGCGGUGAGGGACGAAAGCUGGGGGCACGAACCGGAUUAGAUACCCGGGUAGUCCCAGCCGUAAACGAUGCUCGCUAGGUGUCAGGCAUGGCGCGACCGUGUCUGGUGCCGCAGGGAAGCCGUGAAGCGAGCCACCUGGGAAGUACGGCCGCAAGGCUGAAACUUAA
Molecule: ribosomal RNA, 712 nt
Filed under: uncultured archaeon
Lineage: Archaea
Description: bacterial SSU rRNA
Rfam family: Archaeal small subunit ribosomal RNA
Source: RNAcentral